CUCAAAUUAAGUUACCGAGAAUCCACCAUCUUCACUAGUUUAAACCUGCAAGUGACCCAUGCCCCAGGCUGCAGAGGAAGGCGAAACCUCCCCUCCCCCCAGUCAAUCAAUGAGCAGUUGCCUGAUGUUUGGGACUCUCUUUAUUACAGUAUAUUUCUAAAAACGUUUCUGCCACUGACCAUGUGAUACGGAGGGAAACAGAGACGACGUUUUCAGGAAGUCAUUCCUGCUCCCCAUCUCACCAUUGCUCCACAGCCACUCCAACUUCAAGCCAGAGGCAGGAAAGCCACACGUGGAGCUUGGACCGGACGGAGAGCCUGACUUCUGAUUCGCAGUCUGGUAUGAUGCUCUCUUCAGUAGGAACCAGUAAAUG
Non-coding RNA from Chrysemys picta bellii (western painted turtle), 373 nucleotides. The record is from RefSeq and is a predicted model, not a curated record. Lineage: Eukaryota; Metazoa; Chordata; Testudines; Emydidae.